GCCCAGACUCCUACGGGAGGCAGCAGUGGGGGAUAUUGCACAAUGGGGGGAACCCUGAUGCAGCGACGCCGCGUGGGUGAAGAAGCGCCUCGGCGCGUAAAGCCCUGUCAGCAGGGAAGAAAAUGACGGUACCUGAAGAAGAAGCCCCGGCUAACUACGUGCCAGCAGCCGCGGUAAUACGUAGGUGGCAAGCGUUGUCCGGAAUUACUGGGUGUAAAGGGAGCGUAGGCGGGAGGAUAAGUUGGACGUAUAAACUAUCGGCUCAACCGGUAGAGGCGUUCAAAACUGUCCUUCUUGAGUGAAGUAGAGGUAAGCGGAAUUCCUAGUGUAGCGGUGAAAUGCGUAAAUAUUAGGAGGAACACCAGUGGCGAAGGCGGCUUACUGGGCUUUAACUGACGCUGAGGCUCGAAAGCGUGGGUAGCAAACAGGAUUAGAUACCCGCGUA
This 445-nucleotide ribosomal RNA is filed under the name uncultured bacterium. RNAcentral describes it as "bacterial SSU rRNA". It matches the Rfam family "Bacterial small subunit ribosomal RNA", at positions 329 to 792 of the family's 1533-position model. The record is from RNAcentral.